GAUGAAGAACGCAGCGAAAUGCGAAAAGUAGUGUGAAUUGCAGAAUUCAGUGAAUCAUCGAAUCUUUGAACGCACAUUGCGCCCCUUGGUAUUCCAUGGGGCAUGCCUGUUCGAGCGUCAUUUGUACCUUCAAGCUUUGCUUGGUGUUGGGUGUUUGUCCUGAGGGACUCGCCUUAAAGUAAUUGGCAGCCAGUGUUUGGUUUUGAAGCGCAGCACAAGUCGCGAUUCAAGGCUAUACACCAGCUUCCACAAGCCUUUUUCACUUUUGACCUCGGAUCAGGUAGGGAUACCCGCUGAACUUAAGCAUAUCAAUAAGCGGAGGA
This 323-nucleotide unclassified non-coding RNA is filed under the name soil metagenome. Its description in RNAcentral is "partial contains 5.8S ribosomal RNA, internal transcribed spacer 2, and large subunit ribosomal RNA". The stretch from base 1 to 120 matches the Rfam family "5.8S ribosomal RNA", at positions 35 to 154 of the family's 154-position model. The record is from RNAcentral.